UUUAAUGCUCUGCCUUUUGUGAUAAGUACUAAGAAGGUUUUAAUUUUUUCAAGUUCACUAGUACAAACUUUCUCCUUUUUUUAAAUUUUAUUUAUUUUUCUAGGUAUCUUCUGGAGCCAGAUGGGAAGACGAGUCCACUCAGGAGCUCAAACAGAACUCUGAAAGUAAGAAGAACUGAAAGCAGGAUGCCAGAGACACAUUUAUGGAAAGGGGUAAAGUGAGACCUUAACUGGGCAGAGAAUCAUGUGAACAGUGGAAAGAGAAAGAAAGUUUGGAGGAUGUCCUUGGGCAUGGCUUGCUUCACAGUGAACAUUUCCAGCCAUCCCAAAGUAAUAAUGCACCAACUUUGCACGGCAGGGAAAAAGCAACCAACAAAAUAUCCUCUGAAUGGCAUUGACCAACACAGG
Molecule: long non-coding RNA, 407 nt
Organism: Manacus vitellinus (golden-collared manakin)
Lineage: Eukaryota; Metazoa; Chordata; Aves; Passeriformes; Pipridae
Exons: 3
Source: RefSeq, a predicted model, not a curated record